CCUACGGGUGGCAGCAGUGAGGAAUAUUGGUCAAUGGGCGGGAGCCUGAACCAGCGAAGUCGCGUGAAGGAAGAAGGUACUUAGUAUGUUAAACUUCUUUUGUCGGGGAACAAAGGCGGAGACGCGUCUACGGAUGAGUGUACCCGAAGAAAAAGCAUGGGCAAACUCCGUGCCAGCAGCCGCGGUAAUACGGAGGAUGCGAGCGUUACGCGGAUUUAGUGGGGUUAAAGGGGGCGGAGGGGGGAGAUGAAGUCAGCGGUAAAAUGUCGGGGGUAAACCCCGGCCGGCCGUUGAAACUGGGUUUCUAGAGUUCGGGAGGAGUAAGCGGAAUUCCUUGUGU
RNAcentral lists this ribosomal RNA (340 nucleotides) under uncultured bacterium. RNAcentral describes it as "partial 16S ribosomal RNA". It matches the Rfam family "Bacterial small subunit ribosomal RNA", at positions 338 to 676 of the family's 1533-position model. The record is from RNAcentral.